AGCUCAGUGGUUUGAGCGCGGUGCUGGCAACAAGGACAAACACCGAGGUCGCGGGUUCGAUUCCCGC
RNAcentral lists this transfer RNA (67 nucleotides) under Apaloderma vittatum (bar-tailed trogon). It matches the Rfam family "tRNA", at positions 9 to 63 of the family's 71-position model. From Rfam's summary of the family: Transfer RNA (tRNA) molecules are approximately 80 nucleotides in length. Their secondary structure includes four short double-helical elements and three loops (D, anti-codon, and T loops). Further hydrogen bonds mediate the characteristic L-shaped molecular structure. tRNAs have two regions of fundamental functional importance: the anti-codon, which is responsible for specific mRNA codon recognition, and the 3' end, to which the tRNAs corresponding amino acid is attached (by aminoacyl-tRNA synthetases). tRNAs cope with the degeneracy of the genetic code in two manners: having more than one tRNA (with a specific anti-codon) for a particular amino acid; and 'wobble' base-pairing, i.e. permitting non-standard base-pairing at the 3rd anti-codon position. Lineage: Eukaryota; Metazoa; Chordata; Aves; Trogoniformes; Trogonidae. The record is from Rfam by way of RNAcentral.